AACGAACGCUGGCGGCAGGCCUAACACAUGCAAGUCGAACGCCCUAGCAAUAGGGAGUGGCAGACGGGUGAGUAACACGUGGGAACGUGCCUUUCGGUUCGGAAUAACCCAGGGAAACUUGGACUAAUACCGGAUACGUGCGAGAGCAGAAAGAUUUAUCGCCGAAAGAUCGGCCCGCGUCCGAUUAGCUAGUUGGUGAGGUAACGGCUCACCAAGGCGACGAUCGGUAGCUGGUCGAGAGGAUGAUCAGCCACAC
This 256-nucleotide ribosomal RNA is filed under the name uncultured bacterium. RNAcentral describes it as "partial 16S ribosomal RNA". It matches the Rfam family "Bacterial small subunit ribosomal RNA", at positions 29 to 313 of the family's 1533-position model. The record is from RNAcentral.